This is a small nucleolar RNA of Ziziphus jujuba (common jujube), 79 nucleotides long. RefSeq annotates it as small nucleolar RNA R21. The transcript has a single exon. The record is from RefSeq and is a predicted model, not a curated record. Lineage: Eukaryota; Viridiplantae; Streptophyta; Magnoliopsida; Rosales; Rhamnaceae.
CAUCCCCAUGAUGGAUAUUUGUAAAUCAAAAGUAGUGGGCUGACAUGCAUUGAUGAAAAACAAUGGUCUCUGAGGGAUG